GGCGUAAAGCGAGCGUAGGUGGCUUGAUAAGUCAGAUGUGAAAGCCCCGGGCUUAACCUGGGAACGGCAUCUGAUACUGUUAGGCUAGAGUAGGUGAGAGGAAGGUAGAAUUCCAGGUGUAGCGGUGAAAUGCGUAGAGAUCUGGAGGAAUACCGAUGGCGAAGGCAGCCUUCUGGCAUCAUACUGACACUGAGGUUCGAAAGCGUGGGUAGCAAACAGGAUUAGAUACCCUGGUAGUCCACGCCGUAAACGAUGUCUACUAGUCGUUGGGUCCCUUGAGGACUUAGUGACGCAGCUAACGCAAUAAGUAGACCGCCUGGGGAGUACGGCCGCAAGGUUAAAACUCAAAUGAAUUGACGGGGGCCCGCACAAGCGGUGGAGCAUGUGGUUUAAUUCGAUGCAACGCGAAGAACCUUACCUGGUCUUGACAUAUCUAGAAUCCUGCAGAGAUGCGGGAGUGCCUUCGGGAAUUAGAAUACAGGUGCUGCAUGGCUGUCGUCAGCUCGUGUCGUGAGAUGUUGGGUUAAGUCCCGCAACGAGCGCAACCCUUGUCCUUAGUUACCAGCGGUUUGGCCGGGAACUCUAAGGAUACUGCCAGUGACAAACUGGAGGAAGGCGGGGACGACGUCAAGUCAUCAUGGCCCUUACGACCAGGGCUACACACGUGCUACAAUGGUAGGUACAGAGGGCAGCUACACAGCGAUGUGAUGCGAAUCUCAAAAAGCCUAUCGUAGUCCAGAUUGGAGUCUGCAACUCGACUCCAUGAAGUAGGAAUCGCUAGUAAUCGCGGAUCAGAAUGCCGCGGUGAAUACGUUCCCGGGCCUUGUACACACCGCCCGUCACACCAUGGGAGUUGAUUGCACCAGAAGUGGUUAGCCUAACCUUUUAGGAAGGCGAUCACCACGGUGUGGUUGAUGACUGGGGUGAAGU
RNAcentral lists this ribosomal RNA (930 nucleotides) under Psychrobacter pulmonis. RNAcentral describes it as "bacterial SSU rRNA". It matches the Rfam family "Bacterial small subunit ribosomal RNA", at positions 557 to 1486 of the family's 1533-position model. The record is from RNAcentral. Lineage: Bacteria; Pseudomonadati; Pseudomonadota; Gammaproteobacteria; Moraxellales; Moraxellaceae.